RNAcentral lists this ribosomal RNA (81 nucleotides) under uncultured Pezizomycotina. RNAcentral's name for it is "partial 18S ribosomal RNA". The record is from RNAcentral. Lineage: Eukaryota; Fungi; Ascomycota.
AUCUGCAGAAUCGCCUCUUGGUCAUUUAGAGGAAGUAAAGUCGUAACAAGGUCUCGUAGGUGACCUGCGGAGGGAUCAUUA